GGUUCGCCGCCCGUGACUUCGCGAGAAGUCCACUGAACCUUAUCAUUUAGAGGAAGGAGAAGUCGUAACAAGGUUUCCGUAGGUGAACCUGCGGAAGGAUCAUUG
This 105-nucleotide ribosomal RNA is filed under the name Schoenus brevifolius. Its description in RNAcentral is "partial 18S ribosomal RNA". It matches the Rfam family "Eukaryotic small subunit ribosomal RNA", at positions 1727 to 1831 of the family's 1831-position model. RNAcentral also lists the same sequence under 4 other names. Lineage: Eukaryota; Viridiplantae; Streptophyta; Magnoliopsida; Poales; Cyperaceae. The record is from RNAcentral.